This 253-nucleotide ribosomal RNA is filed under the name uncultured bacterium. Its description in RNAcentral is "partial 16S ribosomal RNA". It matches the Rfam family "Bacterial small subunit ribosomal RNA", at positions 524 to 776 of the family's 1533-position model. The record is from RNAcentral.
UACGUAGGGGGCGAGCGUUGUCCGGAUUUAUUGGGCGUAAAGAGCGUGUAGGCGGCCAGGUAGGUCUGCUGUGAAAACUCGAGGCUCAACCUCGAGACGUCGGCGGAAACCAUCUGGCUAGAGUCCGGAAGAGGAGAGUGGAAUUCCUGGUGUAGCGGUGAAAUGCGCAGAUAUCAGGAAGAACACCCAUGGCGAAGGCGGCUCUCUGGGACGGUACUGACGCUGAGACGCGAAAGCGUGGGGAGCGAACAGG